GUUACUAUCGUUUUAAUUUGAAAUUAAAUAAAUAUCUUAUAAUAGGUAUUUAUUCAUAAUCUGUAGUCUGUUCUUAAGUUAAGCAACUUAAUGCUUGUCUGUUAUUUUUUUUAAUAAAAUACAUGGAAAUAAUACAUACAUAGACAUUUAAUACAAAUAUUACACACAGACUCAGGCGGGACUCGAACCCACAACUCGUGGAGCAGAAAGCAGGGCCACUACCUUCGCCAACGGGCUAGUCAAAAAGAUUAGGUAUUUUAUUUUUCGGUUAAAAAAAAUAAUACUAAACGCCGAAGAAGUAAUGUAUUCUGUGCGUUUUUUUCUAUAAUCUGUAGGAGUGUCUCCUAGAAAUAUCGUCAUGAUCUGAUUGUGAAUUCUAGAUAUAUAAUAGAAGAAAGGCGUAGAAAAUGACACAGGGGAGUAGGUAAACUAUGUACAACUGUGUUCCCAAUAACGAAACGCGUAUUUCAAAAUAACAACGAAUGAUAGUUUAAUAAAUAAUCUAUUUUAAGGAAAACACGUGUCCGAAACCCCUUUAUAUUAAAAUUUAAGUAUUUUGGCCGGUAUGUCACUCAUACAACCCAUUGCAUAAAUUUCGCGAGAAACAUCUAGUUUUAUUUUUGUGUGUCAUACGCGUUUGAUUGUACAUGAAGUGCACUAUUUCCGUCAUUAUCGCUUAGUGUUAUAUCGGUGGACUGGCGCCUGUGCUAUUUAUUACAUUUCUUUGGAUACAUGCCAGGUGCGGUUCGACAGAGAUUCGAUAGCAUGCUAUAGCAAAAGAAAGUCAAAAAGUUCGAUGUCGUCGUUUUUGUUUAAUAUCAAGCACUCUACGUUUUAUUUUUAGCAUUUUUAUUGGUUUUCGGUGUUCACCUUUAAGAGCAUUUUUAGGUAUUUUUUUAAUGAUUAAAUAUGCAGUAUACGAUAAUAUUAAGCCGAGCGUCUACUGUUAGAAAAAAUAAAAAAAAUAAAAAUUUAGUCAAGCUACACUAAAUAAUCAAAUAUCGAUAUCACGAAAGAGUAUAUAUUUGUAAUAUUUUAGGGAAACAAGAUCGUAUCUCAAUAAUAUUUUACGAAAUCACUUCUGUUUAUAAACAGAAGUAAAAUGUUUUUAAACGUAAUCGAAAAUGUUUAAAACGAAAUAUAAGACAAAAGAAAAAAUAGGAAAAUAUUUUUGUAUAAUUAGCAAACUAAACGUUGGUUUUGACACCUAAAUCCAAAA
Molecule: unclassified non-coding RNA, 1219 nt
Filed under: Melitaea cinxia (Glanville fritillary)
Lineage: Eukaryota; Metazoa; Arthropoda; Insecta; Lepidoptera; Nymphalidae
Description: misc RNA ENSMCXG00005021441.1
Source: RNAcentral